ACUGCGAGUGAAGCGGGAAAAGCUCAAAUUUAAAAUCUGGUGGUCCUUGUGGCCGUCCGAGUUGUAAUCUAGAGAAGCGUUAUCCGCGCCGGACCGUGUACAAGUCUCCUGGAACGGAGCGUCAUAGAGGGUGAGAAUCCCGUCUUUGACACGGACUACCGGGGCUUUGUGAUGCGCUCUCAAAGAGUCGAGUUGUUUGGGAAUGCAGCUCUAAAUGGGUGGUAAAUUCCAUCUAAAGCUAAAUAUUGGCGAGAGACCGAUAGCGAACAAGUACCGUGAGGGAAAGAUGAAAAGAACUUUGGAAAGAGAGUUAAACAGUACGUGAAAUUGUUGAAAGGGAAACGCUUGAAGUCAGUCGCGUUGGCCGGGGAUCAACCUUGCUCUUUUGCUUGGCGUACUUUCCGGUCGACGGGUCAGCAUCAAUUUUGACCGGUGGAUAAAGGUCAGGGGAAUGUGGCAUCUUCGGAUGUGUUAUAGCCCUUGGUCGCAUGCAUCGAUUGGGAUUGAGGAACUCAGCACGCCGCAAGGCCGGGUUUUUAACCACGUACGUGCUUAGGAUGCUGGCAUAAUGGCUUUAAUCGAC
Molecule: ribosomal RNA, 583 nt
Filed under: Leucocybe candicans
Lineage: Eukaryota; Fungi; Basidiomycota; Agaricomycetes; Agaricales; Lyophyllaceae
Description: eukaryotic LSU rRNA
Rfam family: Eukaryotic large subunit ribosomal RNA
Source: RNAcentral